Molecule: ribosomal RNA, 207 nt
Filed under: uncultured bacterium
Lineage: Bacteria
Description: partial 16S ribosomal RNA
Rfam family: Bacterial small subunit ribosomal RNA
Source: RNAcentral
CACGUAGGCGGAUCCUUAAGUCAGGGGUGAAAUCCCGAGGCUCAACCUCGGAACUGCCUUUGAUACUGGGGAUAUCGAGUCCGGGAGAGGUGAGUGGAACUGCGAGUGUAGAGGUGAAAUUCGUAGAUAUUCGCAAGAACACCAGUGGCGAAGGCGGCUCACUGGCCCGGUACUGACGCUGAGGUGCGAAAGCGUGGGGAGCAAACA